This 56-nucleotide transfer RNA is filed under the name uncultured Dinobryon. RNAcentral describes it as "partial tRNA". It matches the Rfam family "tRNA", at positions 7 to 59 of the family's 71-position model. From Rfam's summary of the family: Transfer RNA (tRNA) molecules are approximately 80 nucleotides in length. Their secondary structure includes four short double-helical elements and three loops (D, anti-codon, and T loops). The record is from RNAcentral. Lineage: Eukaryota; Chrysophyceae; Chromulinales.
CAUAGCUCAGUUGGUAGAGCGUCAGACUGAAGAUCUGAAGGCCCUUCGUUCGAUUC